RNAcentral lists this long non-coding RNA (1485 nucleotides) under Macaca fascicularis (crab-eating macaque). RNAcentral's name for it is "lncRNA (ENSMFAG00000059789.1)". The record is from RNAcentral. Lineage: Eukaryota; Metazoa; Chordata; Mammalia; Primates; Cercopithecidae.
GAUGGGCAAAGCUGUGCACUUGUAGAUACAUUCAUGAGGGGAGAGGUGCCCUCCCUUCCUGAGGAGCUGUUGGCCUGGGUGGGCAGGAACUGCAAUAUGGCCAUGGGCUGAGCUGGCUGAGCACCUCAGCCUUUAGGGCUCAUGGCCAGGGGACACUGUGUGACUCUCCUCUCUUGCAGGUCUAUUCACCUGGGGUAUGGCAGCUACUGACCUGUCUCCCUGGGGUCACAUGCUUUGUUUCCAUUCUUGUCCUGGCUGGACCAGCCACUGUGGGACCAACACCCCCCCCCACACUCCCCCAGACUGCUCGUCUAUCACCAGGAUCGCUUUGCACUUUGUGCGAAAGGGUCUGGCUGUCCCUUGCUGUUUUCAUCUCUGCCAAGCCCGUUGUGCCUCUGGCUGCUGUGUGUGUGCGUGUGCACGUGUGUGUGUUUCAUCUGUUCAUUCAUUGCACAAGAUAUUUAUUGAGUGCCCACUACGUGCCAGGCACUGUUGCUGAGUUCCUGUGGGUGUGUCUCUCGAUGCCACUCCUGCUUCUCCGGGAGCCUCUUUCUGUGCUUCUCUUUGUCCCCAAAUUGCUACCUCUUUGUCAGUCUGGGUGUCUCAGGUUCUGUGUUUCCUUGUGUGCAUUUCUGUCUCUCUCUGUCCUUGUCUCUCUGCAAGGCCCUUUAUUUCUCUCUUUCUUGGUGUCUGUCCAUGCUCCCUUUGCCCUCUGGAUUCUCUGGGUCUGUGUAGGCCCCUGGUCUGCCCUGGGCUCAUCAGCCUUCCUGACCUCCUCCUGCCCUCCCCUUCACUCCCUCCCUGGCUCUGCCAGUCGGUUCCCACGGAGCCAUUUUUAGCUCUGAUCAGCAUGGGAAUGUGCCUCGGCCUCCAAGGGGCUUUGUCCUGGUGCCCCCGCCCCUGGUCCCAACCUGAUCCCAUGAGGGAGUCGGGACAGGAGGAUUGAUGGUGCUCCCCUUCCUGCCAGCGUCAGAGGCCCUGGAGAGGGGCUCUCCAUGGCAGCUGGUCUUUAUUCCUCCCUCAUGAGCACAGGGCGGGGGGCUCCCCAUUCUUGGAAGAGGUGGAGAAGACUCCUGGGCUUCAGCCUCUCCCACCCAGCCCUGCUCCUCACCUGCCGGCCGUCCCCUCCCCCACUCUAUACUGGGGACUGGAUCUCAGCCUCUGAUCAGUUUCACAAAGUUUGUUCCCUAAGGAAAUCAAAUCCCAUUGUCACCUAACUCUAAAGAUCUAAACAGCCCACGGAUCAGUAUGGGAACCCCAAAUCCCACAGGGCCAGAUGUGGAGUCUGUGUCUGCCCCCGUCUUCUCUUCAUCUUCAAAGCCCCCACUUCUCUCCAGGCUGUUUCUUUUUUUAUGACUGUAAACAUAGAUAGUGCUUUAUUUUGUUAAUAAUAAGAUAAUGAUGAGUAACUUAACCAGCACAUUUCUCCUGUUUACACUCGGGGGAUUUUUUUGUUUUCUGAUGACAUAAUAAAGACAGAUCAUU